RNAcentral lists this long non-coding RNA (577 nucleotides) under Mustela putorius furo (domestic ferret). RNAcentral's name for it is "lncRNA (ENSMPUG00000030198.1)". Lineage: Eukaryota; Metazoa; Chordata; Mammalia; Carnivora; Mustelidae. The record is from RNAcentral.
AUUGGAUUUGGGGCGAAUUUUAUUUAUCGAAUUUAUAAUGGAGUUUAUGGAAUAAAUAAAGCAAACAGGACUAAAUAUAAAUGUUGUUUCAGAAAAUAUUUGUGUGUAUGCCCAUACACAUGUGCAAAUAGAGACGUGGCUCUCUAUACACACCCAUAUACACAACACACAUUCACAGACAUGUAUCGAGUUGCACAGCCAGAAAUUAUAUAGCUCACCCUGUUCUACUCUACAGAACACGGACCAACAGAAGUUAUUGGGAAGUGCCAAGUGUGCACCAUGGAAGCAAGGAAGAGCUCGCAUUUGGCAUUCUGGAAUGUUCUGUGGCUGCCGGCCAGCCUCUCCCCACCAGGCGAGGAGGCAGGGUACAGAGGAAGGCAGAGCACGGGCCCAACACCGAGGGAUGGAGCUUUCCAGCAGGAGGUCUCUGCUUGAGGUGUGGGUUUCAUGGGCAUGGGGACACCCAUGUCACACACCAGGGGAACAGAAUUACGUGCUGAGUGAAGUCUGGGUUUCAGAAGAGUUCCAGGCCUGAGGCUGUCAGAACUUGGAGAGAGGACAGUGUACAUUUCUGAUU